Molecule: ribosomal RNA, 490 nt
Filed under: uncultured bacterium
Lineage: Bacteria
Description: bacterial SSU rRNA
Rfam family: Bacterial small subunit ribosomal RNA
Source: RNAcentral
AACGAACGCUGGCGGCGCGCCUAAUACAUGCAAGUCGAGCGAGAAGGUGUAGCAAUACACUUGUAAAGCGGCGAACGGGUGAGGAAUACAUGGGUAAUCUACCAUCGAGUGGGGAAUAACCAACCGAAAGGUUGGCUAAUACCGCGUACGCCUCCGAGUCUUCGGGUUCGGAGGGAAAGCUGCACUGUGAGUGUAGCGCUCUUUGAUGAGCUCAUGUCCUAUCAGCUUGUUGGUAGGGUAACAGCCUACCAAGGCUUUGACGGGUAGCUGGUCUGAGAGGACGAUCAGCCACACUGGCACUGCGACACGGGCCAGACUCCUACGGGAGGCAGCAGUAAGGAAUAUUGCGCAAUGGGCGAAAGCCUGACGCAGCGACGCCGCGUGGGGAUGAAGGUCUUCGGAUUGUAAACCCCUUUCGGGAGGGAAGAUGGAGCGAGCAAUCGUUCGGACGGUACCUCCAGAAGCAGCCACGGCCAACUUCGUGCCAGCA